RNAcentral lists this ribosomal RNA (458 nucleotides) under uncultured bacterium. Its description in RNAcentral is "bacterial SSU rRNA". It matches the Rfam family "Bacterial small subunit ribosomal RNA", at positions 29 to 506 of the family's 1533-position model. The record is from RNAcentral.
GUGAACGCUGGCGGCGUGCCUAACACAUGCAAGUCGAACGAUGAUAGAGAGCUUGCUCUCUUGAUUAGUGGCGCACGGGUGAGUAUACCAUAGAUAAUGUACCUCUUAGUUCGGGAUAGCCACUGGAAACGGUGAUUAAUACCGGAUACUCCUUCUUACUCUAAGGUAAGUCGGGAAAGUUUUUUCGCUAAGAGAUCAGUCUAUGUCCUAUCAGCUAGUUGGUGAGGUAAUGGCUCACCAAGGCUAUGACGGGUAUCUGGUUUGAGAGGAUGAUCAGACACACUGGAACUGAGACACGGUCCAGACUCCUACGGGAGGCAGCAGUGAGGAAUAUUGCACAAUGGAGGAAACUCUGAUGCAGCAACGCCGCGUGGAGGAUGACGCAUUUCGGUGUGUAAACUCCUUUUAAGAGGGAAGAUAAUGACGGUACCUCUUGAAUAAGCACCGGCUAACUCCGU